UACGGAGGGGGCAAGCGUUGUUCGGAAUUACUGGGCGUAAAGGGCGCGCAGGCGGCUGCUCAAGUCAGGCGUGAAAGGCCUGGGCUCAACCCGGGAAUUGCGCUUGAGACUGGGCUGGCUUGAGUGCGGGAGAGGAUGGUGGAAUUCCCAGUGUAGAGGUGAAAUUCGUAGAUAUUGGGAAGAACACCGGUGGCGAAGGCGGCCAUCUGGACCGCAACUGACGCUGAGGCGCGCAAGCGUGGGGAGCAAACAGG
This 254-nucleotide ribosomal RNA is filed under the name uncultured bacterium. RNAcentral's name for it is "partial 16S ribosomal RNA". It matches the Rfam family "Bacterial small subunit ribosomal RNA", at positions 524 to 776 of the family's 1533-position model. The record is from RNAcentral.